This is a small nucleolar RNA of Ornithorhynchus anatinus (platypus), 141 nucleotides long. The record is from RefSeq and is a predicted model, not a curated record. NCBI's taxonomy places the organism in Eukaryota, Metazoa, Chordata, Mammalia, Monotremata, Ornithorhynchidae.
CACCUCUCAGGGUCGCACCUGGAGAGUUUCCAGUACUCUACCCAUCUCAACUACAGGAGGGAGAGUCAAGAAGCAGAGGCAUAUCCAUUCCAUUCCUAGCUUGGGCAGUGGCUAGCGAGUGGAAGGCAAUCUGCUGCAUGU